UAUAUAUUAUAAAUAAUAUAUAAACAAAAGUAUUUUAAAGGGGUUAUUAAGGAAAACUAAGGCAAAUUUAUAAAAAAGGAGGUAAAAUACCAAAUGCUUCAAGAAAUAAAAAAUAUUUUCUAAUAUGAAAAAAAGCGGUCCUAAGGUAAACCUUGUUUAAAAAUUACUUCCCGAAGUAAAACAUUUUAUUAGGGAAAGGAAAGGAAAUCAACCGAGACUCUGAAAGUAAUGGUGAGUGAAAUCAGAUUAGCCUAGAUUAAAAUUAUAAAUUGAAUAACUUAAACAUCUUUAUUAAAAGUGGGUAUUUUGAUUUAUCAAUAGAAACUACUUAUUUUAAUUAUGUAUUAGUUAGCAUAUUUUGUUUUUUAUUUGUUGGUUUGUUCAAUUAAUAAAAACAAAUUUUGCUCUAAAGAAGGUCACUGAUUACUCUAAGUCCUGUAGAUUUAUAAUUUUAAUUGCGGAAAUUAAUUAGAAUUUUACCAUAAAAAAUAUUAAAAUAGAAUUUAAAAAUUAAUUUGUUAAGUUAUCCAUUUAAAUCUCUAUUUAGCCUUUUUAUGGCCUCUAAUUAUAAUUCUCUAUAAAGUAUGAUGGGAGUAAACUUGUCAGAACAUAGGGGAACCAUCCUCUAAGGCUAAGUAUUAUAAAUUUAGCGAUAGUGAAUAAGUACUGUAAAGGAAAAGUUUGAAAAGCGAGUGGUAUACAAAAAGUGAUUUUUUAAUUAAAUAAUAGGUUUUUAAAUAUUAAUAUUAAUCUCUUUACAACUAAUUUUUAAUCCUUAAAUGGAACUCAAAUAAAUUUUAUACACUAAAAUUAAAAACUAAAAUUAAAAAUGAAUCGAUGAAAUAGAUCAUGAAUUAGUAACUCUAUAAGCAGUCGAAAUUCUAUUUAAAAAUUAAACAAAUAAAGAAUGACGGCGUACCUUUUGCAUAAUGGGUCAGCAAGUUAAUAGGAGUAGCAAGGUUUAAAGCCCUAGCGAAAGCGACUGGACUAUAAUUAUAAAUAAUAAUAAUAAUAAAUAUAGUGAUGGAUAAGUUACUUCUAUUAGACCCGAAGCCAGGUGAUCUUACCAAGACCAGAUUAUAAUGGAUCGAACGGGUGAAUGUUGCAUAAUUCUCCGAUGAGUCUUGGUAAGCGGUGAAAUGCCAAUCUGACCUGGUGCUAGCUGGUUUUCUACCGAAACAUAUUUAAGUAUGAUGUCUACACAAAAUUUAUGGAGGUACAGCAAGGCAAUUCCCAACAAGUUUAAGAUGGUGAUUUCUAUUUUCACUUCAAUCUUUUAGGCGUUUAGGUUGUGGGGACCUCGGAAAUCUUACCUUUGGAAGCGAAUCUCGGAAUUACAUAAAUUGAUGGUAGAUAUUCAGACUACUCAUGCUAAGUUGGGUAGUCAAGACGGAAACAGCCGAGAACACUGAUCAAGGUCCCAAAUGAUUGUUAAGUGAAAUUAAGGAUGUAGCAAUAUCGUAUACAGCUGUGAAGUGAGCCUGGUAGUCGCUACUUAUAAUGAUCGUACGUAACAACGCAUCAGCAGUCUAGAUAGUAGCACCGAAAAUUUAACGGGUCUUAAACAAUCAACCGAUAUCGUGUUGAUUAGGAAUAAAAAAUUCAUAUUUAAUCUAAAAUUUAUAACUUAUAUCUAAUCUUAUUAAACUUUAUUCUUAAUCUAGGUAGUAGAACAUUCAGUCUAACUAAUAAUAAAAUAGUGUUUCAUUGUUUUUUAGGUUACUGAAGAGAGAAUGCUGACAUGAGUAACGUAAAAAGAAGUUAUAAUACUUCUCGCCGAAUACAAAAGGGUUACAAAUUGGAAAGGUUAAUCCGUUUUGUGUGAAUGCGGCCUCUAAGGACCAAAACCAAAGUUUUGGCUGAUGAGUAUAUAAUAGAAAGACCAUUGAUUUUUAUUAAUGGUCCAAGAAAAUAAUAUUAUAAAUAAUUUAAUUUAAUAUAUCCUUCUUUAUUAAGAUCUUUAAAUAAAACCAAUCUUCUAACAUCUAAAUUUAAUCUCUGUCUCCAUUAGUGUCUAGAUAGUAAUAGUUGAAGAAUUUGUGGGUAUUUAUUUUGGGUUAAUAGUUUUUAAUUUAUUUUUGAUAAGUUAUUAGCAUUAAUUUAUUUAUUUAUUUAUUUAUUUUUAUGUUUUUACUAUUCUAAUUGGUAAUUAGAUAUAAAUGGAAAAAUUAUAUUGUGAAUUUGUAGAUUAAUUUAAAGAAUGUUAUAUUAAAAUUAUUAUUUGUAUUUUAUAUUUAUUAUAAUUUGGCUGAAUAGCCACACAAUUUUUAGAAAUUAAAAAUAAAAUCUUUAAAAAGUUAAAGGUUAAUUUAACAUAUUAAUCGCUGCAAAUAUCUUUAUCUGUUUAAUUAUAGUUGGGAUUAUGUAGUGCUAAUGUCACUCUACAAAUCUAUAUUGGAUCUAAUUAAAAAAGAUCUUUUUCUAAAUUAUUAGUAAAAUUCAGUUUAGAGUAUAGUCAUGAUUUAUGAUUAAAUUGAGGUUUUUCUUUAUAAUUUGUCACAACCUAAUGGUUAAUCUAAAUUUUCACACUAAAGAUUUAGUUUUGGAUUAGAACUGGUAUGAGCUAUUUGGAAAAGAUUUAUUACUUUUGUUAAUAAAUUAAAGUCUAGUUUUCAUUCUUUUUAAGGAUAAGGUUAGAUUUUCCUUCUUCCCUAUUUGGAGUAUAUUAGGUAAUUAAUAUCUAGUUCUGUUGUUUUAAUUAAUGACAGUUAAAAUACUAGAAAAAAUAAUCAAAUUAGUUAUUAAUAUCAGAAAAAGAUAAAAGAGACUAUCCGGUUUUCUUAAGCUCUGAUUUCUAAAAUUAGAGUAUUUCUAACUAAUUUAAAUACAUUUAUUUAUUUUAAAUUUUAAUCUCUAUCAAAAAUAGAUGGAAAGAUAGCCAAUUUAUUUGUUUUAGUUUAUAUUUAUUCUUUUUUAUAAGUUAUUUUAACUUAACUAUUUAAAAAAAAAAAUUAACUUUAUUUUGCUAAAAUUAUAAGAAAAUUUAAAUAUAACUUUAAUUAUUGUCAUUUAACAUUUAAAUAGGGUUUUAUGAACUAAAAAUUAAAAAUUCAUAAAAAAAAUAAAAUGGUUGUAUCUAACCGUUUAGUUGUGUAGAUGAAAUAUUUAUUUGAAUAUUAAGAAAAAUUAUUUAAAUAUAAUCUAUAUAACUACCGUACCCAUAACCGACACAGGUUUGUAGGUAGAGAAUACUAAGGCGUAGAGCUAAAAGUUGUUAAGGAACUCGGCAAGUUCACCUCAUAAGUUUGACGAAAAGAGGGACCACAAAUAUAAUUACAAAAAUUAAUAGUCCGGAUUGUUAAAUUAAUUGUAUAAGGUGGUGACACAAAAUCGGAGGCCCCGACUGUUUACUAAAAACACAACACAGUGCAAUCAUUAAUAUGAUAGUAUACUGUGUGAAAUUUGCCCGAUGCCAUUAAUAUAAGUGCGGUCAUGGGUAACUGUGACUAAUCGAAAAUCUGGUUAAUAGCGGUCUUAACUAUGAGGAUCCUAAGGUAGCAAAAUCAGUUGGCCAUUAAAUGUGGUCCGGUAUCAAUAAUGUAACGAUGGCCUCACUGUCUCUACAACUUGCUCAGUGAAAUUGAAUUACACGUGCAGAUGCGUGUUGCCUCCAGGGGGACGGGAAGACCCUAUGCAGCUUUACUGUAGUUAGUUAUCAUAUGAAUCUAGAACAAUCUUAGUUAAUAGAAAAUAGGGAAGUCGAGAGACAAAUUCUGGAAACCUUAUAAUUAAGGUUGGGUUUAUGUUUACCUUAUAAUUAAAAAAAAAAGGGAGAGUUGACUAAUUGGCAGUUUGACUGGGGCGGUCGUCUUUAAUAGAGUAGCAAAGUACAUCCAAAUAUUUACUUAAAUAUAAGGUUUUAGACCUUAUUUAAAUUUUCAACUGUAGAGAGAAGGUUAACAAAGAAUAAUAAUUAAUGUAAUAGUUGGUUAUUAAACAUUGAAGACUUUUUUGAAGGCUGGAAAUUAUAACAAAUAACUUUUUCUCUUUCUUUUUAAUAUUAAAAUUUAAUUACAAAGAGAAAAGUAAUAAUUAAUAGAAUAAAAAUAAAAACAAUCAAAACAAACAAACAAAAUAAUAAAAAAAAAUAUAAUAUAAUAUAAAUAAAAAAUGAAAAUUCAAUCUAAUCUAUUAAAGAUAUUAACUAAUAAGAAAUUAUAUUUUAAAUAAAAAAAUAAACAACAAAUCAUUUUGUUAAUUAAAAAAUCAAAUAAAAACUUUCUCUUUAGCUAGUUCUCGGCUCCCCACUUGCCUUAGCUUGAGGGGAUUGUUUUAUAUCUUCUGGUCAUUAAUUUGGCAAAAUUGCGAAAUUUGCAUUAGAAGAGUGAAAAGUUUAGGCCUUUAUUGGCUGCCGUGAAAUUAGUGACCCCUUACUACCUCAGUAUCUUUAAGUUAGUUAGUAACUUAGAGCUAUAAUCUUUGAGGAUUUGUGAAAACAAAAUAGGUAAGGGAAAAGAGUUUGGCUAAAAAUAAAAAUACAAUAAAAAAUUUUAAAAGGUAUAGCUAGAUAUUGAAUGGAGAUCAAUUAACCAGUGAAGGGUUACGCAGAGUUCAAUGGCGGUAAGCAUGCUUAACUGAAAGACCUAAAAGUCACACAGAUACGUAAGUAGGGCAUAGUGACCCCUCGCUAUAAUAUGGGAUAGACGGGGAUCAAUUAAUAAAAGUUACGCUAGGGAUAACAGGCUGAUAGCCGACGAGAGUACACAUUGUCUCGGCUGUUUGGCACCUCGAUGUCGACUCAUCCUAUCCUCCGGGGGAAGAAGCUUGGAAGGGUUCGGCUGUUCGCCGAUUAAAAGGGUACGUGAGUUGGGUUAAUACGACGUGAGUCAGUAUGGUCCCUAUCUUCUGGAGGGACAAGUAGUAAAAAGGGGCAGACCUUCUAGUACGAAAGGAUCAAUAGGCUGUGUUUCUCUAGUGUACCAAUUGUUUGUACUUUUUUGUAAGGGACUCAAAGUAUCUUGAAGGCAAAAGUAAAGAAAAAUGGGGAAAAUCCUUUUUUAACUUUUUAAUUAAAGUUUACUCUUAAUAGUUUAAAAAUUAUUGAGAAAAAAGGUAACAAGAUCAGAAAGCAUAGUUGGGUAGCCACAAACAUAAUAGAUAAGUGCUGAAUGUCUAUAAAGCAAGAAUCUAACCCCUAGAUACUAAAAAAUGAUUAAUUACCUAAUUUAUAGUCUUGAUAAGAGACUCUAAAACAAGGUAAUAAAUAAUCAUUAAUUAAGAAAUAGAACAUUUCUAGAUAGGCUGCAAAUGA
Molecule: ribosomal RNA, 5251 nt
Filed under: Tricholoma terreum
Lineage: Eukaryota; Fungi; Basidiomycota; Agaricomycetes; Agaricales; Tricholomataceae
Description: large subunit ribosomal RNA
Rfam family: Bacterial large subunit ribosomal RNA
Source: RNAcentral